CUGUAUUGACCCUCCUUGUAAUUUUCUUUUGCCUUCCUGCAAAAGAAAAGUAUCACAUACAUGUACUGCUUCUCGAAGUGCUCAUAGUUAAAGGAUACAGAGAGAGUGGGAGGGGGUGGGUAUGAUGUAAAAAUCCACUGGUUUGUUGUUUGGGUUUCACGUGGAAAGCCUACCGAAAGUGGGCUCCAAGGGAAGAAAAAUAAUGCACAGUUUCGAAGUUGAACCGGCACAGUUGGGACCCAAGCUUGGGCUUCUGUGUUGAGAGUUUCGAGGCGCAGGUUGAAAAACUACAAAAUAAAAAAACAAAAAAACAAAAAAAAAA
This 322-nucleotide long non-coding RNA is filed under the name Physcomitrium patens. Its description in RNAcentral is "long non-coding RNA (PPAT_LNC008330)". The record is from RNAcentral. Lineage: Eukaryota; Viridiplantae; Streptophyta; Bryopsida; Funariales; Funariaceae.